ACGACCUAACGGGGCGCCUCGCUCCUGAUGAAAUGAUCAAUUUACAGAAAGGCCCCCAAGGUCGCCGCCCAAGCCCAACAGUAGCCCAGAAGAAUGCGAAUUCGAAGAAGGCUACACGGUGUCGUUGGGUGCGAGCGAGACUCUUAGGAGGGCUUCCCUGCAAGUUUCCAGACCGGCAAAGCCCUAGAACCUCCACCUCGUCGUCGGCGGCGGCUACCAUGUCGACCCCCUCCGGGAACGGCGGCAGCGCCUCCGCGUACUUCGACGUCUACGGCCAUGGCGCCAAGCCUGAUGUUGUUUUUAAGGAGGCUGCUUUAAACUCUACGUUAAAUCUGCAGGAUGUUCAGGGUCUGGUCACUUGGGUUAUUGGUGACGGCAUGCUUCCUUCUUGGGUGUUUGUUAAGAACAAGCCUCUUAUACCGAAAGUCAUCCUGCUAUAUGUUCCUGGCCUUGAUGCAGCUUUAUAUAUGUCACAGACGCGACUUCUUUCUUCUCUGAAAGAAUUAUGUGGCAAUCCAAAACCUGUUCUAGCUUCAAGCUGCAUACCUGAUGAGAGGCAUACCAUUGAUGCACUCCUAACCUGCAGAGUAAAGAGAAAACGUGAUGUAAAAACAUCAACUCAGCCGUCUAAACUGGAUGGAGAAGGAAAAUUAUCAAGUCUGGAUGAUCUUGGGGACAUACCAUUUCCUGUUACAUAUUACACACUUUCGGAGAAAGACUUAGAAGACAAUGGCUACUCUUUAAAUUUGUCAGAUUUUGUCCCUACUGUUUCAGCUCCUUCAGGUUCUUCUCCACAUAAAAUUCUUGCACUUGAUUGUGAAAUGUGCGUGACUGGAGCUGGAUUUGAACUUACAAGAGUGACAUUAGUCGAUAUUAAAGGAACGGUGGUGCUAGAUAGACUAGUAAAGCCUGCCAAUCCAAUCAUCGAUUACAAUACAAGGUUCAGUGGAAUCACCGCUGAGAUGUUGGCUGACGUGUCCACAACCCUGCAGGAGAUUCAGGAAGAAUUUGUUGGACUUGUCUAUAAAGAAACCAUUCUCGUUGGGCAUUCUUUGGAAAAUGACCUUACAGCAUUACGGAUAUCCCAUCGUUUAAUCAUAGAUACAGCUGUUUUGUACAGGUAUAAUCGAGGUGCUCGCUGUAAGAUUGCUUUGCGUGUCUUGACAAAAAAAUUUCUUGGCCGAGAGAUCCAAAACACUGGAUCUGGGCAUGAUAGUGUGGAAGAUGCAAGGGCUGCUCUAGAACUUGCUAUAUUGAAAAUAAAAAAUGGUCCUGAUUUUGGCUCCCAACCAUCAUUGUCAAGGCGGAAGUUGACGUCUAUACUGCAUGAGAGUGGGAAAAAAUGCUCUCUUAUUGAUGACGUGUCUGUUCUCGAGCGAUAUUCAGAUACUUCUUGCAAUUCAAUUGCUGUUUUUUCGGAUGAUGAUGCACUCUCCAGAUCAAUGAAGGAGGUGAAGAAUGACAAAGUCAGCUUCAUUUGGACUCAAUUCUCAGGAUUGAUCUCCUACUUCGGCAGAAGAGCUCAAGAUCCGGAAAAGUUGAAAUCAUGUGUCGCAGAGGCUAUUGCAUUAAAAACAUGCGAUGGAAAAACUGCUUCGAAAAAAGCAAAACGUCAAAUUUGUCCUGAAUUAAAGGAAGUUUUGUGUCAAUUGGAUAAAAAGAUAAGGGAAUUAUAUGUUGCCCUACCUGAUAAUGCUAUGCUUAUUAUAUGCACUGGCCAUGGUGAUACACCUCUAGUACAAAGACUGCGUAAAAUGCUUCACCAUGAAGAAAACACAAUAGAAACCCGAGAAAGUAUUGUUCAAGCUUUGGGAGAUUUACAAGCCCAAGCAGAAGUUGCUUUGUGCUUCUGCUGUGUCAAACAUUAAUUGCAUCUUUAAAUUGCUGUCCUCAUGUACAUGACUUUUAUGGAUUGAAGAAGGGUGUCAUGCAUGCAAGCUGACCUGCUGACGUGGGAACUUCUCUAUCAUAGAUUAGUAGAUUCAAUUUUGAAACUUCCUGCUGCCCUUCUUGUCAGAGGAAUGUAGCAAACUGGGCUGUAACAAUCUGAUUGAUGUGAUAUCAAUCAAGUUCUGCUUCCAGAGGAAUGAUCGUUCUGCUAUAAUAUAUUUGUAUGACCCCACAAAACUAAGGCGUUAUUGUCAUUUUCAUGUUGCUACCAUAAAUGUUAAAAAUGUAAAUGUAUCAGGCUCCUCUUCUAACUAGAGGGGAGUAGUAUAUUUGUGUUGUAAGUUAGUUUGGGCACGCAAAACUUGUGACAUUAUUUACAAAUUGUGCAACUUCAUGCGAGUUUGCUGGACGAACAUAAUUUUAUUCAAGCUGCUAGGUCAA
Panicum virgatum (switchgrass) is the source of this 2331-nucleotide RNA transcript. It is a transcript of the gene named small RNA degrading nuclease 5-like, with no coding region annotated. The transcript is spliced from 16 exons. The record is from RefSeq and is a predicted model, not a curated record. NCBI's taxonomy places the organism in Eukaryota, Viridiplantae, Streptophyta, Magnoliopsida, Poales, Poaceae.